CAUUAAAGAGUUCUAUAACUCCCAAACCCAUGUGAACAUACCUAACGUUGCCUCGGCAGGUCGCACCUACCUUGUAGCACCCUACCCUGUAGGGCCUACCCGGGAGGUGCGGGUAAGCCUGCCGGCGGCCCACCAAACUCUGUUUGAUAUUGAAUUCUGAACCUAUAACUAAAUAAGUUAAAACUUUCAACAACGGAUCUCUUGGUUCUGGCAUCGAUGAAGAACGCAGCGAAAUGCGAUAAGUAAUGUGAAUUGCAGAAUUCAGUGAAUCAUCGAAUCUUUGAACGCAUAUUGCGCCCAUUAGUAUUCUAGUGGGCAGGACCGUUCGAGCGUCAUUUCAACCCUUAAGCCUUCGUUGCUUAGUGUUGGGAGCCUACGGCAACGUAGCUCCUCAAAGUUAGUGGCGGAGUUGGUUCACACUCUAGACGUAGUAAUUUUUUAUCUCGCCUAUUAGUUGGACUAAUCCCCUGCCGUAAAACCCCCAAUUUAUCAAGGUUGACCUCGAAUCGGUUCAGACAAACUCGCUAAAUUGAAGCAUCUUAGUCAGCGAAGGAAAAGAAACCAACAGGGAUUGCCCUAGUAACGGCGAGUGAAGCGGCAACAGCUCAAAUUUGAAAUCUGGCCCUCGGGUCCGAGUUGUAAUUUGUAGAGGAUGCUUUUGGCGCGGUGCCUUCCGAGUUCCCUAAAUUU
This 690-nucleotide ribosomal RNA is filed under the name fungal endophyte. RNAcentral describes it as "eukaryotic LSU rRNA". The stretch from base 182 to 335 matches the Rfam family "5.8S ribosomal RNA". The record is from RNAcentral. Lineage: Eukaryota; Fungi.